GACGGAGGGUGCUAGCGUUGUUCGGAAUUACUGGGCGUAAAGGGCGCGUAGGCGGUCUGUCGCGUCUGCUGUGAAAACUCGGGGCUUAACCCCGGGCCUGCAGUGGGUACGGGCAGACUAGAGUGCGGUAGGGGAGACUGGAAUUCCUGGUGUAGCGGUGGAAUGCGCAGAUAUCAGGAGGAACACCAAUGGCGAAGGCAGGUCUCUGGGCCGAUACUGACGCUGAGGAGCGAAAGCGUGGGGAGCAAACAGG
This 253-nucleotide ribosomal RNA is filed under the name uncultured bacterium. RNAcentral describes it as "partial 16S ribosomal RNA". It matches the Rfam family "Bacterial small subunit ribosomal RNA", at positions 524 to 776 of the family's 1533-position model. The record is from RNAcentral.